CUGAGCAUCAGCCAUCACGCAAAAUUUACAGUCUCUACCUGAGUCCCAACAAGUUUUUACUUGUUUGUACUAGGAGCACGCCGAAUCUUCCUAAUGGGUAUUCUACUAGUUGCAGGAAGUUCCAUUCUAUUUGAGCCUUUGGAACUGCGGAAAUUUUAACAUCAUCGCUCGCGAUCGCCACCCACGAGUUCCGAGACAAAGUGGCGUUUGCCUUUG
This is a long non-coding RNA of Cloeon dipterum, 216 nucleotides long. RefSeq lists it as uncharacterized. Lineage: Eukaryota; Metazoa; Arthropoda; Insecta; Ephemeroptera; Baetidae. The transcript is spliced from 3 exons. The record is from RefSeq and is a predicted model, not a curated record.